CAGUUUAAUCAGUUUAAUGAUACAGGAGGAAAGCAAGAUUAAAAAAGGGACGGACAACGUUCAUUGCAUAUCUUGUUAUUGCUUGUCAGUUUACGGCCCUCAGCGUUUGUUAAGCUACACUAACUAUUUACUUGUAACUUGAUAAAUUUUGGUAUGCUGGUGGUAAUACGAGUAGGGGCCAGACAUAAAGCAAUGCGACAAUUAAUGAUAUGUUGCAUAGUGGGGCAUAAUGUAGUGUAACAGCUGACGCUAUAUAUCAUCGA
This is a non-coding RNA of Schizosaccharomyces pombe (fission yeast), 263 nucleotides long. The record is from the annotation of a GenBank genome assembly. NCBI's taxonomy places the organism in Eukaryota, Fungi, Ascomycota, Schizosaccharomycetes, Schizosaccharomycetales, Schizosaccharomycetaceae.